RNAcentral lists this microRNA precursor (114 nucleotides) under Dichanthelium oligosanthes. RNAcentral's name for it is "MIR2275 microRNA precursor family". It matches the Rfam family "MIR2275 microRNA precursor family". The record is from Rfam by way of RNAcentral. Lineage: Eukaryota; Viridiplantae; Streptophyta; Magnoliopsida; Poales; Poaceae.
GCGCUGAAAGUGAGAGUUGGAGCAAAACAAACCACCGAUCGAUCGUCGGUUCAAUCGACGGGAAAACAAGAUCGACGAUUGGUUUGUUUUCCUCCAAUAUCUCACCUUCAGUCA